CCUACGGGUGGCUGCAGUGGGGAAUAUUGGACAAUGGGCGAAAGCCUGAUCCAGCCAUGCCGCGUGUGUGAAGAAGGCCUUCGGGUUGUAAAGCACUUUCAGUGGGGAAGAAAGCCUUGGGGCUAAUACCCUCGAGGAAGGACAUCACCCACAGAAGAAGCACCGGCUAACUCCGUGCCAGCAGCCGCGGUAAUACAGAGGGUGCGAGCGUUAAUCGGAAUUACUGGGCGUAAAGCGCGCGUAGGCGGUCUGAUAAGUCGGUUGUGAAAGCCCCGGGCUCAACCUGGGAACGGCAUCCGGAACUGUCAGGCUAGAGUGCAGGAGAGGAAGGUAGAAUUCCCGGUGUAGCGGUGAAAUGCGUAGAGAUCGGGAGGAAUACCAGUGGCGAAGGCGGCCUUCUGGACUGACACUGACGCUGAGGUGCGAAAGCGUGGGUAGCAAACAGGAUUAGAUACCCCGGUAGUC
RNAcentral lists this ribosomal RNA (465 nucleotides) under Vreelandella stevensii. RNAcentral's name for it is "partial 16S ribosomal RNA". It matches the Rfam family "Bacterial small subunit ribosomal RNA", at positions 338 to 795 of the family's 1533-position model. Lineage: Bacteria; Pseudomonadati; Pseudomonadota; Gammaproteobacteria; Oceanospirillales; Halomonadaceae. The record is from RNAcentral.